CGGGACACGUGGUAUCCUGUCUGAAUAUGGGGGGACCAUCCUCCAAGGCUAAAUACUCCUGACUGACCGAUAGUGAACCAGUACCGUGAGGGAAAGGCGAAAAGAACCCCGGCGAGGGGAGUGAAAAAGAACCUGAAACCGUGUACGUACAAGCAGUGGGAGCACAGAGCAAUCUGUGUGACUGCGUACCUUUUGUAUAAUGGGUCAGCGACUUAUAUUCUGUAGCAAGGUUAACCGAAUAGGGGAGCCGAAGGGAAACCGAGUCUUAACUGGGCGUUAAGUUGCAGGGUAUAGACCCGAAACCCGGUGAUCUAGCCAUGGGCAGGUUGAAGGUUGGGUAACACUAACUGGAGGACCGAACCGACUAAUGUUGAAAAAUUAGCGGAUGACUUGUGGCUGGGGGUGAAAGGCCAAUCAAACCGGGAGAUAGCUGGUUCUCCCCGAAAGCUAUUUAGGUAGCGCCUCGUGAAUUCAUCUCCGGGGGUAGAGCACUGUUUCGGCAAGGGGGUCAUCCCGACUUACCAACCCGAUGCAAACUGCGAAUACCGGAGAAUGUUAUCACGGGAGACACACGGCGGGUGCUAACGUCCGUCGUGAAGAGGGAAACAACCCAGACCGCCAGCUAAGGUCCCAAAGUCAUGGUUAAGUGGGAAACGAUGUGGGAAGGCCCAGACAGCCAGGAUGUUGGCUUAGAAGCAGCCAUCAUUUAAAGAAAGCGUAAUAGCUCACUGGUCGAGUCGGCCUGCGCGGAAGAUGUAACGGGGCUAAACCAUGCACCGAAGCUGCGGCAGCGACACUAUGUGUUGUUGGGUAGGGGAGCGUUCUGUAAGCCUGUGAAGGUGUACUGUGAGGUAUGCUGGAGGUAUCAGAAGUGCGAAUGCUGACAUAAGUAACGAUAAAGCGGGUGAAAAGCCCGCUCGCCGGAAGACCAAGGGUUCCUGUCCAACGUUAAUCGGGGCAGGGUGAGUCGACCCCUAAGGCGAGGCCGAAAGGCGUAGUCGAUGGGAAACAGGUUAAUAUUCCUGUACUUGGUGUUACUGCGAAGGGGGGACGGAGAAGGCUAUGUUGGCCGGGCGACGGUUGUCCCGGUUUAAGCGUGUAGGCUGGUUUUCCAGGCAAAUCCGGAAAAUCAAGGCUGAGGCGUGAUGACGAGGCACUACGGUGCUGAAGCAACAAAUGCCCUGCUUCCAGGAAAAGCCUCUAAGCAUCAGGUAACAUCAAAUCGUACCCCAAACCGACACAGGUGGUCAGGUAGAGAAUACCAAGGCGCUUGAGAGAACUCGGGUGAAGGAACUAGGCAAAAUGGUGCCGUAACUUCGGGAGAAGGCACGCUGAUAUGUAGGUGAAGCGACUUGCUCGUGGAGCUGAAAUCAGUCGAAGAUACCAGCUGGCUGCAACUGUUUAUUAAAAACACAGCACUGUGCAAACACGAAAGUGGACGUAUACGGUGUGACGCCUGCCCGGUGCCGGAAGGUUAAUUGAUGGGGUUAGCGGUAACGCGAAGCUCUUGAUCGAAGCCCCGGUAAACGGCGGCCGUAACUAUAACGGUCCUAAGGUAGCGAAAUUCCUUGUCGGGUAAGUUCCGACCUGCACGAAUGGCGUAAUGAUGGCCAGGCUGUCUCCACCCGAGACUCAGUGAAAUUGAACUCGCUGUGAAGAUGCAGUGUACCCGCGGCAAGACGGAAAGACCCCGUGAACCUUUACUAUAGCUUGACACUGAACAUUGAGCCUUGAUGUGUAGGAUAGGUGGGAGGCUUAGAAGUGUGGACGCCAGUCUGCAUGGAGCCGACCUUGAAAUACCACCCUUUAAUGUUUGAUGUUCUAACGUUGGCCCCUGAUCGGGGUUGCGGACAGUGUCUGGUGGGUAGUUUGACUGGGGCGGUCUCCUCCUAAAGAGUAACGGAGGAGCACGAAGGUUGGCUAAUCCUGGUCGGACAUCAGGAGGUUAGUGCAAUGGCAUAAGCCAGCUUGACUGCGAGCGUGACGGCGCGAGCAGGUGCGAAAGCAGGUCAUAGUGAUCCGGUGGUUCUGAAUGGAAGGGCCAUCGCUCAACGGAUAAAAGGUACUCCGGGGAUAACAGGCUGAUACCGCCCAAGAGUUCAUAUCGACGGCGGUGUUUGGCACCUCGAUGUCGGCUCAUCACAUCCUGGGGCUGAAGUAGGUCCCAAGGGUAUGGCUGUUCGCCAUUUAAAGUGGUACGCGAGCUGGGUUUAGAACGUCGUGAGACAGUUCGGUCCCUAUCUGCCGUGGGCGCUGGAGAACUGAGGGGGGCUGCUCCUAGUACGAGAGGACCGGAGUGGACGCAUCACUGGUGUUCGGGUUGUCAUGCCAAUGGCACUGCCCGGUAGCUAAAUGCGGAAGAGAUAAGUGCUGAAAGCAUCUAAGCACGAAACUUGCCCCGAGAUGAGUUCUCCCUGACUCCUUGAGAGUCCUGAAGGAACGUUGAAGACGACGACGUUGAUAGGCCGGGUGUGUAAGCGCAGCGAUGCGUUGAGCUAACCGGUACUAAUGAACCGUGAGGCUUAACCUUACAACGCCGAAGCUGUU
Molecule: ribosomal RNA, 2547 nt
Filed under: Escherichia coli
Lineage: Bacteria; Pseudomonadati; Pseudomonadota; Gammaproteobacteria; Enterobacterales; Enterobacteriaceae
Description: partial 23S ribosomal RNA
Rfam family: Bacterial large subunit ribosomal RNA
Source: RNAcentral